CAGCCGCCACGGUAAUACGUAGGUGGCAAGCGUUGUCCGGAAUUAUUGGGCGUAAAGGGCUCGCAGGCGGUUUCUUAAGUCUGAUGUGAAAGCCCCCGGCUCAACCGGGGAGGGUCAUUGGAAACUGGGAAACUUGAGUGCAGAAGAGGAGAGUGGAACUCCACGUGUAGCGGUGAAAUGCGUAGAGAUGUGGAGGAACACCAGUGGCGAAGGCGACUCUCUGGUCUGUAACUGACGCUGAGGAGCGAAAGCGUGGGGAGCGAACAGGAUUAGAGACCCCCGUAGUCCCUGUCUCUUAUAC
Molecule: ribosomal RNA, 301 nt
Filed under: uncultured bacterium
Lineage: Bacteria
Description: partial 16S ribosomal RNA
Rfam family: Bacterial small subunit ribosomal RNA
Source: RNAcentral